UACGUAGGUGGCAAGCGUUGUCCGGAAUUACUGGGUGUAAAGGGAGCGCAGGCGGGGUCUUAAGUUGGAUGUGAAAUGCCGCAGCUUAACUGCGGAGCUGCAUCCAAAACUGGGACUCUUGAGUGAAGUAGAGGCAGGCGGAAUUCCUGGUGUAGCGGUGAAAUGCGUAGAUAUCAGGAGGAACACCAGUGGCGAAGGCGGCCUGCUGGGCUUUUACUGACGCUGAGGCUCGAAAGCGUGGGGAGCAAAC
RNAcentral lists this ribosomal RNA (250 nucleotides) under uncultured bacterium. RNAcentral describes it as "partial 16S ribosomal RNA". It matches the Rfam family "Bacterial small subunit ribosomal RNA", at positions 524 to 773 of the family's 1533-position model. The record is from RNAcentral.